CAGGGAUGCCAUUCUUAUAUGCUGCUCUGUUCCGGCACUGGAAGGCUCAGAAGCUUAAGCUGUCGUGUGCUUGAUGAACUGGGGAAUGGAUGGACCAAGGUAUUUAUAGGCCGCUUCUUGGGUCUCCCAAGUGUGCAGAGUACAAAUCCUACAUGAAGCAAGAAUAAAGGCUUCCUGAAUUAUUGUAGCAAGUGAUUGAUGGCACGGUGCAGUUGGAUGCUUCUUACAGAAUUGGAUGCCUUGUAGCCUGGCAGGAGGUGCAACUUACCGGACGCGAAGUUUUCCAUUCGAAAUGUUUGAGGUAUAUUAUUCCCUGAGUCAUUAACGCACAAUGGCACCAGGAAGCUUCCGAAGGUUUGCUGCCUGGUUUCUGUUGGUGUCUGGAUGAUCUCUCCCCCUCCGACGUAGGGGACACGGCUAUAGCUUGUGUUGCGUUUGGCAAGUUGCCAUGACGUCUUUUUUGUUUUUUUUUCGUUGAUCCUAUGGGAUUUAUAAUAAUUAAGUUGCAUGUGUCAAGGGUGUCUUGUACAGUACUUUGUUUCAAACUCCCUCCGUCCCAUUACGUCCUAAAUUAUAGGACGGAGGGAGUAGUUACUAAAUAUUAGACGGAGUAGUUCCUAAAUAUUUGUUUUUUUAGAGAUUUCAAAUAGACUACCACAUACCUAUGAAUAUAGACAUAUUUUAAAGUGUAGAUUCACUUAUUUUGUUUUAUUUUGUUUUGUAUGUAGCCAUUUGUUGAAAUCUCUAGAAAGACAAAUAUUUAGGAAUGGAGAGAGUACUCUGUUUCAUACUCCCUCCGUCCCAUU
RNAcentral lists this long non-coding RNA (806 nucleotides) under Triticum aestivum (bread wheat). RNAcentral's name for it is "long non-coding RNA (TAES_LNC027419)". The record is from RNAcentral. Lineage: Eukaryota; Viridiplantae; Streptophyta; Magnoliopsida; Poales; Poaceae.